Molecule: ribosomal RNA, 379 nt
Filed under: uncultured eukaryote
Lineage: Eukaryota
Description: partial 18S ribosomal RNA
Rfam family: Eukaryotic small subunit ribosomal RNA
Source: RNAcentral
CAAUAGCGUAUAUUAAAGUUGUUGCGGUUAAAAAGCUCGUAGUUGGAUUUCUGCUGAGAACGACCGGUCCGCCCUUUGGGUGUGUAUCUGGCUCUUUCUUGGCAUCUUCUUGGUGAACGUUGCUGCACUUGACUGUGUGGAGCGCUACCCAGGACUUUUACUUUGAGGAAAUUAGAGUGUUUCAAGCAGGCAUACGCCUUGAAUACAUUAGCAUGGAAUAAUAAGAUAGGACCUCGGUUCUAUUUUGUUGGUUUCUAGAGCUGAGGUAAUGAUUAAUAGGGAUAGUUGGGGGCAUUCGUAUUUAACUGUCAGAGGUGAAAUUCUUGGAUUUACGGAAGACGAACAUCUGCGAAAGCAUUUGCCAAGGAUGUUUUCAUUG